This 900-nucleotide ribosomal RNA is filed under the name uncultured Chloroflexota bacterium. RNAcentral describes it as "bacterial SSU rRNA". It matches the Rfam family "Bacterial small subunit ribosomal RNA", at positions 51 to 964 of the family's 1533-position model. The record is from RNAcentral. Lineage: Bacteria; Bacillati; Chloroflexota.
AUGCAUGCAGUCGAGCGAGAAACCCGGGUUCGCCCGGGCGGAAAGCGGCGAACGGCUGAGUAACGCGUGAGUAACCUGUCCCUGAGUGGGGUAUAACCUGGAGAGAUCCAGGCUAAUCCCGCAUACGAUCCCUGGGCCUUGGCGCAGGGAGGAAACCCGCUUGCGGGGCUCUAGGAGGGGCUCGCGUUCUAUCAGGUAGUUGGUGGGGUAACGGCUCACCAAGCCGAAGACGGAUAGCUGGUCUGAGAAGAUGGUCAGCCAGAGGGAGACUGAGACACGGUUCCCACUCCUACGGGAGGCAGCAGCAAAGAAUUUUGGGCAAUGGGCGAAAGCCUGACCCAGCGACACCGCGUGGGGGAUGAAGGCCCUAGGGUCGUAAACCCCUUUUUCAAGGGAAGAGAAAGGACGGUACCUUGAGAAUAAGCCCCGGCUAACUACGUGCCAGCAGCCGCGGUAACACGUAGGGGGCAAGCGUUACCCGGAUUUACUGGGCGUAAAGAGCGCGUAGGCGGCGGAGUAAGUCUUCUGUGAAAUCUUCCGGCUCAACUGGAAGAGGUCAGGGGAUACUGCUCGGCUUGAGGGCAGAAGAGGAAGACGGAAUUCCCGGUGUAGCGGUGAUAUGCGUAGAUAUCGGGAGGAACACCAGAGGCGAAGGCGGUCUUCUGGGCUGUGCCUGACGCUGAGGCGCGAAAGCGUGGGGUAGCAAACCGGAUUAGAUACCCGGGUAGUCCACGCCCUAAACGAUGGACGCUAGGUAUGGGGGGUAUCGACCCCUUCCGUGCCGAAGCUAACGCAUUAAGCGUCCCGCCUGGGGAGUACGGCCGCAAGGCUAAAACUCAAAGGAAUUGACGGGGGCCCGCACAAGCGGCGGAGCGUGUGGUUUAAUUCGAUGCUAAGCGA